GGUUAAGCGACUAAGCGUACACGGUGGAUGCCCUGGCAGUCAGAGGCGAUGAAGGACGUGCUAAUCUGCGAUAAGCGUCGGUAAGGUGAUAUGAACCGUUAUAACCGGCGAUUUCCGAAUGGGGAAACCCAGUGUGUUUCGACACACUAUCAUUAACUGAAUCCAUAGGUUAAUGAGGCGAACCGGGGGAACUGAAACAUCUAAGUACCCCGAGGAAAAGAAAUCAACCGAGAUUCCCCCAGUAGCGGCGAGCGAACGGGGAGGAGCCCAGAGCCUGAAUCAGUGUGUGUGUUAGUGGAAGCGUCUGGAAAGGCGCGCGAUACAGGGUGACAGCCCCGUACACAAAAAUGCACAUGCUGUGAGCUCGAUGAGUAGGGCGGGACACGUGGUAUCCUGUCUGAAUAUGGGGGGACCAUCCUCCAAGGCUAAAUACUCCUGACUGACCGAUAGUGAACCAGUACCGUGAGGGAAAGGCGAAAAGAACCCCGGCGAGGGGAGUGAAAAAGAACCUGAAACCGUGUACGUACAAGCAGUGGGAGCACGCUUAGGCGUGUGACUGCGUACCUUUUGUAUAAUGGGUCAGCGACUUAUAUUCUGUAGCAAGGUUAACCGAAUAGGGGAGCCGAAGGGAAACCGAGUCUUAACUGGGCGUUAAGUUGCAGGGUAUAGACCCGAAACCCGGUGAUCUAGCCAUGGGCAGGUUGAAGGUUGGGUAACACUAACUGGAGGACCGAACCGACUAAUGUUGAAAAAUUAGCGGAUGACUUGUGGCUGGGGGUGAAAGGCCAAUCAAACCGGGAGAUAGCUGGUUCUCCCCGAAAGCUAUUUAGGUAGCGCCUCGUGAAUUCAUCUCCGGGGGUAGAGCACUGUUUCGGCAAGGGGGUCAUCCCGACUUACCAACCCGAUGCAAACUGCGAAUACCGGAGAAUGUUAUCACGGGAGACACACGGCGGGUGCUAACGUCCGUCGUGAAGAGGGAAACAACCCAGACCGCCAGCUAAGGUCCCAAAGUCAUGGUUAAGUGGGAAACGAUGUGGGAAGGCCCAGACAGCCAGGAUGUUGGCUUAGAAGCAGCCAUCAUUUAAAGAAAGCGUAAUAGCUCACUGGUCGAGUCGGCCUGCGCGGAAGAUGUAACGGGGCUAAACCAUGCACCGAAGCUGCGGCAGCGAC
Molecule: ribosomal RNA, 1170 nt
Filed under: Escherichia coli
Lineage: Bacteria; Pseudomonadati; Pseudomonadota; Gammaproteobacteria; Enterobacterales; Enterobacteriaceae
Description: partial 23S ribosomal RNA
Rfam family: Bacterial large subunit ribosomal RNA
Source: RNAcentral